UGAGGAAUAUUGGUCAAUGGGCGAGAGCCUGAACCAGCCAAGUCGCGUGAAGGAAGACUGCCUUAUGGGUUGUAAACUUCUUUUAUACAGGAAUAAAAAGGCCUACGUGUAGGCCAUUGCAAGUACUGUAUGAAUAAGCAUCGGCUAACUCCGUGCCAGCAGCCGCGGUAAUACGGAGGAUGCGAGCGUUAUCCGGAUUUAUUGGGUUUAAAGGGUGCGCAGGCGGGCUUUUAAGUCAGCGGUGAAAUCUGGACGCUUAACGUCCAAACUGCCGUUGAAACUGGGAGUCUUGAGUAUGGAUGAAGUAGGCGGAAUUCGUUGUGUAGCGGUGACAUGCAUAGAUAUAACGAGGAACUCCGAUUGCGUAGGCAGCUUACUAAGCCAUAACUGACGCUCAUGCACGAAAGCGUGGGGAUCAAACAGGAUUAGAUACCCUGGUAGUCCACGCCGUAAAACGAUGAUUACUAGUUGUAUGCGAUAUGAUAGUAUGUGACUAAGCGAAAGCGAUAAGUAAUCCACCUGGGGAGUACGCCGGCAACGGUGAAACUUAAAUGAAUUGAC
This 561-nucleotide ribosomal RNA is filed under the name uncultured bacterium. RNAcentral describes it as "partial 16S ribosomal RNA". It matches the Rfam family "Bacterial small subunit ribosomal RNA", at positions 355 to 914 of the family's 1533-position model. The record is from RNAcentral.